RNAcentral lists this ribosomal RNA (460 nucleotides) under uncultured bacterium. RNAcentral's name for it is "partial 16S ribosomal RNA". It matches the Rfam family "Bacterial small subunit ribosomal RNA", at positions 338 to 795 of the family's 1533-position model. The record is from RNAcentral.
CCUACGGGAGGCAGCAGUGAGGAAUAUUGGUCAAUGGACGAGAGUCUGAACCAGCCAAGUAGCGUGAAGGAUGACUGCCCUAUGGGUUGUAAACUUCUUUUAUAAAGGAAUAAAACGAGGCACGUGUGCCUUUUUGCAUGUACUUUAUGAAUAAGGAUCGGCAAACUCCGCGCCCGCAGCCGCGGUAAUACGGAGGAUCCGAGCGUUAUCCGGAUUUAUUGGGUUUAAAGGGAGCGUAGAUGGGUUGUUAAGUCAGUUGUGAAAGUUUGCGGCUCAACCGUAAAAUUGCAAUUGAUACUGGCAGUCUUGAGUACAGUUGAGGUAGGCGGAAUUCGUGGUGUAGCGGUGGAAUGCUUAGAUAUCACGAAGAACCCCGAUUGCGAAGGCAGCUUACUAAACUGUGACUGACAUUGAUGCUCGAAAGUGUGGGUAUCAAACAGGAUUAGAUACCCGAGUAGUC